This 1583-nucleotide long non-coding RNA is filed under the name Sinocyclocheilus anshuiensis. Its description in RNAcentral is "lncRNA (ENSSANG00000005380.1)". Lineage: Eukaryota; Metazoa; Chordata; Actinopteri; Cypriniformes; Cyprinidae. The record is from RNAcentral.
UGUUUGACGUCACACAGGACGUUAACAUGGCAAAGUCAAACCCUCAACUUCCUGUUCCUGUUUCUCUGUCGCUCUUGCAGUCAGCUUCGACUGAAAGAGAAGUUGGGGAGAUCGCCAGAGACGCUUCAGAGAGCGAUAUCUGCCCCAGGGAAGCAGAGAGAGAUACACAACGCCAUGUAGAGGAGUGUGGAACGUGCAUCGCUUGGAGAACACAGGACAUAGACGAAAGAGAAAGAGAGGAAGAGUAUCUUCCUCCCUCUCUUUCUCCCUCCCCACCACUUUCUGACUCGUUGGACGCCAUGAGUCGGAUCUAUAACCUCAAGACGGUGGGGUCCAGAACUGCAGUGUGUAUCAGUGAAAGGACAGCUGAUAUGCCCCCACACAGUGGACCUCAGGGCAAAUACAACCCCAUCAGACAAGCACCAUCACCGGACAUCCUGCCAGAAACUGCUAAGCUGUGGAAUCAUGGGAGGGACGGUGACAAAACUCAGGCGAUGGAGUCGACAGGUGUUCAGAUGGUACAGUGGCAGGUGGAACAACUACAGCUGAGGGAACAGGAAGCAGGAUGUGGCUCCCACAAUGACAAAAAGGCACAGCCCACCAUGGAGAGUUGUCCGCUUGUAGAGCCAGAGAUCAGGGCAACUGAAGGCCAGAAGAAACCAGACAUACUAAGAGAGACACAGAAAUCCCAAAUGCCUACAAGUACCAGAUUUCCACAAGGCCAACAGAAUGUCCAAAGACAAUCCCCUAUACCUCAGCAGGUCAGGUCAUUCAUAAUCAACGCCCGGAGCACCGAAUCAACAGAAAACUCACAGAAACCUCCAGAACAAAGCUCUCCAUCGCCAACCUCUCCCUGUACUGCAUCCCACUCUUCAUCUCCAUCUCUGCCUCUCUUUUCCAUUAGGAGUGCCUCAGGUAGACCAGGUAAGAGAGGAAUUACCAUCACAAUCACCCCCAGAAGACCUGCUGGGGCAGCCUCGUCUGGUGCCAUCCCAAGAGGGACCCCUGCAACACCCAAAGCAGCUCCCCAGGGCCAUAUACCCACACCUGCUCCCAGCAGCACCAAGGAGGCAGGGAAGAAACGAUAUCCUAAAGCAAAAGAGAUUGAGGUGAUUGGAGGGUACCAGAACCUUGAACGGUCAUGCUUGGUGAAAAGCAGAGGGACACCGAAAGCGGUGAAGGUGUGUUUCGAUGACGCUCAGCUGGAGAGAGUUUGUGAGUACCCUUCAGAAGGUUUUGCGCUUGCAUCCCUCCCUUACUCGCCUCAUCCGGGGCCGGAGGACGGCGGGAUGGACGAGGGGGAGCAGGAGGACGAGGGACAGGAGGAAGAUGAGGAGGAGGAGAGCGCAGCGUUUGUGUCUCGCAGAGGCAUGAAUGAGUGCGCAGCAAGGGCUCGAUGCAUAAAAGUCGAUGAAUCCUGUAAACAACUUUCCAAAUAACAAACCAGGGCAUCCUUUAGAUUUUCAAUUCUUUACAUUUACAGGAGGUGUAAGUGAUGAUAAACCUUUUAUAAAUUGGUUUUAAAAAUAGUUUUUAUUGUUUAGUUUUGCUUGUCCGGACAGAGAAUCAAAUAUACUUUGCAA